RNAcentral lists this ribosomal RNA (300 nucleotides) under uncultured bacterium. RNAcentral's name for it is "bacterial SSU rRNA". It matches the Rfam family "Bacterial small subunit ribosomal RNA", at positions 114 to 417 of the family's 1533-position model. The record is from RNAcentral.
CGCGUAGGAAUCUACCUUAUGGUGGGGAAUAGCCCGGAGAAAUCCGGAUUAAUACCGCAUAAGUUCUAUGGAAGAAAGCGGGGAAUCUUAGGACCUCGUGCCAUUAGAUGAGCCUGCGUAGGAUUAGCUAGUUGGUGAGGUAAAGGCUCACCAAGGCGACGAUCCUUAGCUGGUCUGAGAGGAUGAUCAGCCACACUGGGACUGAGACACGGCCCAGACUCCUACGGGAGGCAGCAGUGGGGAAUAUUGCACAAUGGGCGCAAGCCUGAUGCAGCCAUGCCGCGUGUGUGAAGAAGGCCU